GAUGAACGCUGGCGGCGCGCCUAACACAUGCAAGUCGAACGGUUAAAGCAUCUUCGGAUGUGCAUAAAGUGGCGAACGGCUGAGUAACACGUGGGCAACCUGCCCCUCGCAUCGGGACAGCCUCGGGAAACCGUGGCUAAUACCGGAUACUCCGCCACCCCCGCAUGGGGGAGGCGGGAAAGCCCAGACGGCGAGGGAUGGGCCCGCGGCCUGUUAGCUUGUUGGUGGGGCAGUGGCCCACCAAGGCGAUGAUGGGUAGCCGGGUUGAGAGACCGACCGGCCAGAUUGGGACUGAGACACGGCCCAGACUCCUACGGGAGGCAGCAGUGGGGAAUCUUGCGCAAUGGGCGAAAGCCUGAUGCAGCGACGCCGCGUGCGGGACGAAGGCCUUCGGGUCGUAAACCGCUUUCAGCAGGGACGAGGC
This 424-nucleotide ribosomal RNA is filed under the name Olsenella profusa. Its description in RNAcentral is "bacterial SSU rRNA". It matches the Rfam family "Bacterial small subunit ribosomal RNA", at positions 28 to 451 of the family's 1533-position model. Lineage: Bacteria; Bacillati; Actinomycetota; Coriobacteriia; Coriobacteriales; Atopobiaceae. The record is from RNAcentral.